Molecule: ribosomal RNA, 372 nt
Filed under: uncultured organism
Description: partial 16S ribosomal RNA
Rfam family: Bacterial small subunit ribosomal RNA
Source: RNAcentral
GUAGGUGGCAAGCGUUGUCCGGAAUUAUUGGGCGUAAAGCGCGCGCAGGCGGUCCUUUAAGUCUGAUGUGAAAGCCCACGGCUCAACCGUGGAGGGUCAUUGGAAACUGGGGGACUUGAGUACAGAAGAGGAAAGCGGAAUUCCAAGUGUAGCGGUGAAAUGCGUAGAGAUUUGGAGGAACACCAGUGGCGAAGGCGGCUUUCUGGUCUGUAACUGACGCUGAGGCGCGAAAGCGUGGGGAGCAAACAGGGAUUAGAUACCCUGGUAGUCCACGCCGUAAACGAUGAGUGCUAGUGUUAGGGGGUUUCCCGCCCCUUAGUGCUGCAGCUAACGCAUUAAGCACUCCGCCUGGGGAGUACGGCCGCAAGGCUG